UCUCCUUCCGCCAAAGCAGGCACACCUUUCCCUCCGUGGUCCUCCAGCGUUUCUUACCUUCUUGUCGCCGCUUUGAGCCUCGUUGUCUGGCUGUGAACUCUCACCCCAGCUGCUUGGGAAAUGUCAUACAGGCAGAGGCCCGUGCUGCAGUAGGGGGGCGUAAUAGGAGGAAAAAAUAACAUUUUCACUGCUCUCACUGCAUCUUUUUUUAUUCGCGUCUCUGAGGUGCAAGUGCCACAUCCCCGCUACCAACACCACCACCAGCAGCAGCUGCAGCCGCCGAUAACUAACCGCAGUCUCAAUGCUCACCUCGCAUUAGGACUGAUAUUUAAAAAAAAGAAAAGAAAAGAACAGAAAAAAAAAUCCGUGCCAGACAUGGGGAAGAACAUUAAUCUUCUUUGGAAGAUGUCAAUCCAGCAGACUAACUGGCUUGUGAUGCUGAUGCCCAGCAGACGAUCCUGGGACUGAGACGCGGAUCCCUUUACACUGAUGGCCUGGACUGAGUUUCAGCUGGCCUGCUGAAGCUAUGGGGAGCUGUUGGAGCUGUUUAUACAGAGACCCCAUCCGAGACAACCAUCUCACCAAAUUUAAGGUCACCAAUGUAGACGAUGAGGGCAAUGAGCUGGGCUCUGGGAUCAUGGAGCUCACCCAAACUGAGCUCAUUCUUCACACACGUAAGAGGGACGCCAUCCGGUGGCCAUAUCUCUGCCUGCGACGCUACGGCUAUGACUCCAAUCUGUUUUCUUUUGAGAGUGGCCGCCGCUGUCAGACCGGGCAGGGAAUCUUUGCAUUCAAGUGUUCUCGGGCAGAAGAGAUCUUCAAUCUGCUCCAGGAGCUGAUGCAGUGCAACAGCAUCAACGUGGUGGAAGAGUCGAUGAUGAUGAGUCGCAGCGGUCACACACCAGAGAUGGAGAUGUCUCGCACACCACAGACACCCAACACUCCAGCAUUUCCUGUCCAGGCUUUUCCCAAUGGAUACCCUGGUUAUCCUAUCAGAGGAGAUUCCUCUCAACCAUCGAUUGCUGAUGAUCAUGGACAUAGCCUCAUGGGUUUGGAAGACCAGACCCACACCUAUGUAAAUACUGUGAGCAUGGAGGGGGAUCUUUCCAUGCGUCAUUGUGUGCACUCUCUACCUGAGGUACGGCCUAGCACUUUUCCUGAAACAACACGGGGAGCCAUGCCUGUAGGGGGCCAAGGAAAUCCGCAGUCCAACCUGCGGUGCUGUCCCCUCGAGGAGCAUAAAGAUCCUCAGGUGUUCCUACAGACGUCCUCGCAGGAGGUCAAAUUCAUGCUGGGUCCCACUCCAGCGCAACGGCAUCUGCUGGAGAGAGAGAGGGAGAGGCACGGGCACAAUCCUCACAACCUUCAGCCAGUAGAGGGCGCAGCAAGCUCAGAGACGGAAGGAGACGAGCCCUCUAUGCACCUGUGCAACUCUCACUCCUAUCACCAUUUCCAUCAUCACACGCACCGGCACCCGGGCCACGAGCACCAGGAGGGCUGCCAGAGUGGCGAGCUCACCUACGAGAAUAUCAACGGCCUGCGAAGCGGCCGUAAGCAGCGUCUGAGUCCCAGCAGCGUGUCGCAAUCCGUAGGUUCAAGCAGCAGUAGCAGCACCGGGGACAGUCAUUCUCACUCCCUCUUACACGGUCACGGGCCGACAUCUCUACCCCCGCAGGGGUACCCCUGUGAGAGGGGCAUGGGUGGAGCUCAUCGUCGGACAGCUCUGCUUAACUACGAGAACUUACCCUCUCUGCCGCCGGUGUGGGAGUACAGCGCUCUGCAGCGGGAUGAUGAGCAGGAAGAGGAAGAUGAUGACCAGGAUGAUGAGGAAUAUGAAGAAGAAGAAGAAGAUUUUGAUGAGUACGAAUUCUCAGAAGGCCCCGGGACCCCCAACGGUUACCAUCAAGACGGCCGGGGCAUCCACAGAGACGCCCUGCAGAACUAUGUCAACACAGAGCAGGUCCAGCCUCCCCGGCUUCGACACGCCUGCCCCCCGCAUCCACAGCCGUGUCACUCAGACAGAGGGGGGCGAAUAUUUAGCUUUGAUUUCCGCAGACGAUCGAGGUCAGGGGUUGGAGGCUGUGAGCACAGCCACAUGCCUCCUUCGCGGCAGCUGAAUUACAUCCAGGUGGACCUGGAGGGAGAACCUCCCUGCCAAGCCCUCAGCAGCGGGGGUGCCCAGACCCAGCCACAGCACCAGCGCCUACCACCCAAAAAAUGUGGUCCGCAGGCACCCCGGCGCAGCGAAUGCUACGCAGUCAUUGACCUAAAGAAGACCGCUGCCAUGUCCAACCUGCAGAAAGCUCUGCCCAGGGAUGAUGGGACUUCCAGAAAGACUCGCCACAACAGCACAGACCUGCCUCUGUAAAUGGUGUUCAAACUGAAGAGGAGCGAUGAAGACAGAUGAAGGCUUAUCCUCAUCUUAGCACACUGGACCCUUCACUGUCAUCCAUCCAUUCAACUGUCGGGCUGAUCAGUACAGUACAGGUACCUAAUUAGAAACUUACUGAAACUUAUCUGUGCAUAUUCAAGCAAAAGAGAAAUCUCUGAGGAGAAUUUGCCAUUUUAUUUUGUGUUGUCAGAUAUUUGGUGUAAAGCUCUCUGGAGAAAUCUGCAGUUUUUUUUUCUGCAGACAAUUGCUGGAUAUUUGAAUAUUAUUAUAUCUAACCAUAAAGUCACAUAUAUGUAUGUAAAAUAUAUAUAUGUAUAUAUGACUUUUGGCUUAGUUUGGCCGAGAGUUUAGCAGAGAGUUAUAAGUAGAAGCAGUCGUUGCCAUAAUGUUUUAGUGCAAAUUUUUUAAAACCAUCUACACUCAUAAAUGUUGUUGCUCCUAUCAUUUAGUUUGGUUCCAAACACUUUGAGUGUCAGAGUUGUGAACCUCAUCUCAGAAAUUAUGUUGUUGGCAUGAAGGAUGGUAAUGGUUCCUCCCAGAUACUGGUCAAUGUUCAUACCUCAUCAAAAGCACUUAAAUCUAAUGUUGUGGCUAGUAGAAGAGACCAUUAUUUGUUACUGUAUGCCUAUAGAGCAUUUUGCACACAAUCCUAUGGAAUUGUAUUUCAUCUUUUUUUUUCCUUUUUUAAGGAGUUAUUUAGUUCAGUCCUAGCUUAAAAAAAGAGAUGGCUUAAAUAAAUCGAAGAGAAUGUGAUAUUUGAAGAAAUAUACUAGACUAAAUGACGGUAAAAGUAGCACACAUGCAUUAAAUGAGCUUUGGCUCCCUCCUAUCAACAUGCAGCAAUUGAAAAAGUAGCAUAUCAACUUUGAUCACACCUCCUGCUUAUCAUCUCAAACCUGCAGGAGGUUCACGCUUGUCACGUUGCACUUUUGACCCUGGGCCGCUGAAACGCUCUUUGUCACCACUCCCGCGCCACUGGAGCCACAGGUUGUGUCCUUUUACCAAAAACAGGGGGCCAAAUAUUUCCCGGAGAUAAUAAUGUAGAUAGUUUAUUUAAAUGUUCUUGAUGGAGACGCUGAUAACCUCAAAUCGUGGCAUUAAGCUAUAACCUCACACAAAAUGUUGUCAGUUAUCAGGUACGGAUGUUCUGUUUGGAAAGGGUUGUCGCAAAAUCAUCCACUGAAGAUUUUUGUGAGAGAAAUUAUCAACCAAUUAUCAGAUAUUUAUUUAUUUAUUUAUUUAUUUCACUUUAAUUUAUUCUCUCUCUCUCUCGCUCUUUUUUUUAAAAAAGUUGUAGUAAUUUUGUUUUCCACGUGACGACCAGCGUUUUGUAGUCCAGUUGGUAAUAUGGAGACCAAAGUUUCACCUCAGAUUACCACUGGACACUGAUGUAUUACUGUUAUAACUGUGCUUAAUUAUAUUUUAAACAAAAGAAAGACUGUAUUUAUAUUUUAAGUGCCAAAACUUAAUUGCAAACUGUACGAUGAAUAAAAUCAAAUGUGCCAUUUGGGUUGGUAGAAAUCUAUAGGACAGAAAGGCAUAAGAGGAGAACAGUCAGAAGACAAAAAAAAGAAGAUCCUGCUUUUUAAGGAUAACACAAGCUAAAAUAAUAAAAUCUGCACAUUCCACCUCAUCCACAUCGACAGCCAUUUCGAAGGGGGAUAUAAGAAUGGUAAUCUUGUGGUCUGAUAAUCACUGUUAGGGUGGUUUUUAUGCUGCUACAUGUACAUACUAACAGUAGCCCAUGUAAGCUACAUGAAAAAAAAUGAUGUGAUGUCAGAUCCUUUAUCAUAUCGUUGAUAGAAGUAGCAUUGUUGUGUUCUCCUGAGAUUUUUUUGUUUUCUCAGAGCUGUACAAAUGUCACGUACCAUUUAAUUGAAUGUUUAAUUUGACCAAUAUUUCAUGUAAUCGAGAUUGUUUUCUGAUUAACUGUCUGGUAUGGGGAGAGUUAAUGGAAGCACAUGAAUCUGUCUCUUUCUUUGUUCUUCUUCUUUUUUUAAAAAAUUUAUUUAAAUGAGCGUUCACAUCAGGGUGAUGUUUUCAGCCUAUAAAGGAAGGCCAGAUGUUCAAUGUUUACACAUGUGCGGGCCUUCAGAUGCAGAUGUAUUGUGGCAUUAAGCUGAAGUUGGUCUUUUUUUUUUUCCACGCAGCAUUUAGAUUAAAUGAGACAAAAAUGCAUUUUUUAACAUCUGUGCAUGAACGCAAGUAUUCAAGCUGAGUGGAUACAACCUUUUAAAAUGUGUUAAGAAUAAACAGAGCCCAACCAAUUUAUUGACGUGCAGAUGUUAUCGGACGAUAUUAGCUAUUUGCUGAGAUAUUAGUGUUAGGGUUUAUAAUGUUCGAUAAAUUAAAAUUAAAAAGGUAAAGAAGAGACAGAAAAAACACCCUUCAACCGUGCUCUGAGUGUUGAUGUUGCAUGGUUUGUCCAUCAGAGGGCACUCUACAGCUUCCUUCUUGUGAACACAUCUGUUUGGAACAGACAACAACAGCCGGCUGAUCCAAACAGAGUUGGCCAGAGCGUAAACGCAUAAAUAAAUAACAAGAAAUAAAAAAUGUUGGGGAAUUCUUUUUGUUUAAUGUGCCUGAAAGAGAGAAAAACGAUACAAAACAAAUGUUUAUAUCGCAGUAUCGGAUAUCAAUAUCUUAAAAAUUCGGAAGGGCUCUUCUGUGCUUAUGUGAAGCUAAAACUAAAACCUAAAUUCUCCUGUUCCCUGAAACUAUAUAUUAUCAUAUUUCAGUUCCUACUUCAGAUAUUUUCCUCAAAUACAAAACAGAAAUAAGCAGUUGUGUGAGGCAUUAUACAUCUAAAAUUGUUAAUUAUUACUUGUGUAUUUUAGUCCCAAAUAUUGUUGUACUACUGUUACUUUCAGGAAAAAGUAGUAAAUAUUCAGAUUCUUUAAAAGUUUGAUCAUAUGUAACCAGCAGGCUUUUUAAAAAAUAUAUUUUUGCCCUAAUUAGUUAUUAAAAUGUUCAGUUAAUUAGUUAAAGAUGGCUGCAAAUAUAAAAUAAUCUACUACUAAUGUUUUAUUGUUAGUAAGUGUUCAAAAGCAUUUUACAAUUUAUUAGUUUUAUCAGACAACAACAACAAUCUUAUCUAUUAUUUUUCUAACUAUCCAUUCAAAACCACAAACAUUAAACUUGAAACUGUGAAACCCUCAAAUGAUUGACAAAGCAGUUAAUCAGCUUUCACUGUAGUAAAAUAAGUGUAAAUUAGCUUGCUAACGUUACAUAAAAACUAAAUUUAAAUUUGAUUGUUUUUGAUUUUGCUCUUUGACAAAAAUACGAUAACUCUAUUUAUAUUUUAAAAAAAGACCAACUUGUAGCUGCCAUUUUUGCUGGAUUUGCGAGGACAUUAUUGCGAUACGUGAGAGGGAUGUUUACAUUUUUUGCAAUAAUAUGUAAUUCAUUGUUUUGCCAAUCCAAAUUGGACCAAUAUUUGAAGAGUAUUGAAAUGUAUAGUCUAAAGAGGUGUGGGCUUAAUGUAUUUAAUCACAUGUUUGUCUAUGAAUCUUAUUAUUUGAGAUACAAUGUUCAUUUUUCAGCCUCAGUAGAGUGAAUUUGACUUUGAAAAGAAAAAAAAAAAGGAAAAAUGUUUUCUUGACUGUCAGUUAGCUCAACAUGAACAGUGCCAUAUAUUAUGUCACCAUUGCCAAUACUUCAGAGUUUAUUGCGUUACAUUUUUCAAAGCUGUGAUGAUGUAUCAUAAACAACUCAGUAAGUCAAUCAUCCAUUUUCUCAGAAUAAUGUUACAUGUGGUUUUAUAGGCAUUAUAAAAUUCAGCACCAUUACCAUGAUUGCCAGUGUUUAUUGAUUAAUAAUCAAUGACGUUUAAGUAAUAGUUUUUCAGAUCAUUCAGCUUCAAAGUACUGAUCUUAUCUCAUCGCUGCUGAGGUCAAACGAACUCAGGGGCCAUAAGAUAACGGCACCCACCUCAUUACUCACUGUGAUUGGCCUGGUGCCGAUGCUAUCUCAAGCAUUUACUUUUCAUAAACUUUAGUAUUUAUGCCUAAGGCAUGAUUCACACAGGUGUCUAUGAGGUUGUCAGUGUGGUGUGGUUGUUUCUGCUUGUGCAGUCUGCAGGGCAAGUGGCAACGAGUCCUCUCAUUAGGUUCCCCAAAACAGCAUUUAUUUGAAGGGGUUGUUUUAAAAUAAAAGUUAAAAAAAAAUAAUAUAUAUUCUUUGUGUUUACCGUGAAAGCGUAAUUGCAUAUCUUAUCCAUUUAAAAAAAAAAAAAAAAUUAAAAAUCUUGUUGUGCCUUGCAUUUUCAAGCUGAAGAAAUAUCUUUACUGCCAUUGAUGGCAGCAUCCUGAUGGAGAAAGAAAGUCAGCACCUCUUGAAGGUUUGGAGACUGAAAGUAAAAUGGCCUUUUAGUCAUUUGUGUUGUACUUUGUAGUCAAUACUGAUGGUCAAUCACUGUAUUUUUUUCCCCCUUUUAUUUUUCUUAAAUGAUGUCUGUUAAAAGAGAAGUUUGGCAUUUUGGGAUACAUGAAUAUUUGUUUUCUUACUAAGAGUUAGAUUGACGCUACAGACGCUCUCAUGUGAUAUGAAAGACGUAGACGUAGGUUUGUGAAGCCCUGGUUUGAAGCCUCAAGUUUAGCAUGUUAUCUGCUGCCAUGAUGGGUGUUUUCUUUGGCACAUUUUGAGGGUGGCGUGCUAAUUUAUCAGCUAACGCUAGCAAUCCUGGGUAGCUUGGAUAGCACAUUUGUGGUGACGCUGAGCUUCGCAAGCUUCUGAUUUCCCAUCAGCUGCAGCUUCUGUUGGUGUAGCUGACACAUUUUACAUCUUGGUUUUUUUGUUUGUUUGUUUUUUGGGGGGGUUUUUUGUAUAUGAACGAAUGUGUUGGGUUUAAAGAAUACAGCGGGAACAGAAAGAAAAGGCCAGCAGUUAUACAUUACAUUGUCUUCAUCAGUGCUUUCAAUCACCAUCAUCAUAAAAAUGACAUAUUGUAAAACCUCAACUUCCUGUUCAUGCUACAAGAUCUUUGUCAAAAUACUGAAAAGCAUCAGAAAACUGUAAUAUCAUAUUAUUAUUAUUAUUAUUAUUAUUAUUGUUAUUAUUAUUAUUAUUGUGUAUUUUUUUUUUUAAAUCUGGUUUGUUUUUGUCCGGGUGUAAUUGCCACCAGGGGGUGAUGUACAUGUACGGGUCUGAGCUGUACAUUUUUGUGACUGAUUUGUGUAUUUACAUACAGUUUGGGCUAACUUUGUGACUAUUAUAUGAAUUUAUGAAUUAAAUGAGUGCCAAAUAUGCUUGAGCAUGACAAAAUCCGGGACCUGCAAGGAGCUGCAGGCACUCUGACUCAUCAGAGCGAUGCCCGAGUGACUCACUGCUGUUGUAGACUCUCCUUGAGUUUUGAACGCACAGCUGAAGGUUUAAUCAUGCUUAAUAUUUUUGAUGAAAGUGCAGGGGGGACUUCUUUAUGUUUUGGUCUCAGUUUGAAAAAGUUUCUUCAGAUAUUUGUUGUAUGUUUCUGUGUCCACCCAUGGCUUAUUAAUGAGUAUGCAGUGAUGGUCUUAUCAUGCUGCCAUUAGAGGUGACUAUAAAAGCUUCAUUUGUUGAACUGUCAAAAAAGGAAAAAAAAAAAAAAGAAAAAGGUCAUUUGGGUCAUUUUCAUUCUUAAAUCAUUCCACACAGAGAUGCGUUGUAUGUUAUCUGAACUCCUCUUCAUCCCCAAAAUAAGGUGAGCCUGACAUCUGGUGAAUUUUACCCUGAAUUUUAUCAAAUAUAGAGUGUGGAUUUGUCCAAAAUGUAAAAGUAAAUGUAAUUCUAAUAUUAAAAUGAAGCUAUGGAAAAAAAAAAAAAAAUCCAUUGUGCACUAAAUGGUGUCGGUUUUUCAAAAACUAACAAAGCUUUUUCCCCUCCAGGAUCACGUGCCUCGUCGUUCUAACAUUAUGGCAUUUACUGGAUAUAUUUUUACAAUAAGAGUUUAAGAUUUAGAGAAAAGAAAAGGGGGGAAAAAAAUCUGAUUAACGUCAUAAGAAACCUGAUAACUUUAAGAAGAGAAAAGCUUUGUUCCACAAGCAUGUGAAACUGUCCUUAUAAAAUGCCUGUAAUACAAUACCCCGAGUGUUGCACUGAAGAUCAUUCAUCCUCAGGCGCAGCAGCUAAGAGGUGAGCUGACAGGAAUGCCUUUACUCUACGGAGAUGAGUGACGUUAAAUGUAUGAAGGCCAUUGGAAGCAGAAUGAGUAGCUCGAUGUCCUGCACAAGAGGAGUUAUUUACUCUUCAAAUUGUGGUUUACCAACAAUUAAAUAGUGAUUUUUAUUCCAGAUUUAUUUUUGCAUCUUUUAAGCACGUCUCCCUGUGUGAUGGUAAUUAUAUGUACAGAGAAUGUGGUUCAUGUGAGCUUUAGAUUUACACCAAAAUGUAAAUAUAUUCCUUAAAUGGGAGAAGCCUUGUGUUCAUAUGACUGUCUGGAUAUUCUAUCAAAAAGUAAAUAAACAAAGCACCACUUUACUGGGAGGCUCGGUGGCUUUAGCUAAAGUGAUUAAUAAGAGAACACCAGUAGAUGUACAAUGGCCUUUCACUGUGUCUUGAAACUUGCUGCUGUUUGUCGCUUGGGUGUCUGAUUUCUAUGUGAGCAUAGAACCUGAAAUACCAGAAAUAUGAUUGGCUGUCUGUGAUUUCACUAGAAACACUUGAGCUUGUCAUUGUGCAGCAACCAGAGGGAUUAUUUAACAUGCAUUCAAACCUGCAAGCAGCAACUGCACGCUUAAAGGUUGAAGACAUACAAAGUUUGGUGGAUUUAUACAUGAGUUACUGCAUACCAGCCAUACACACACACCUCACAGUGUGCACCUGUCUUCCAUUGUAUGAAAACAGCAGUCACAAUCCCACACUCAAAUCCCAAAAUGUCCUAAAUGCACAGCUCUGGUGCCCAUUUACUAUUUGGCAUUUUAAAAAACUGAAAAAUGUGUAGCCUAUAAACAUUUUUUUAAAUUAAUAUGUAAUUUCCUUGGUGCCUUAUCCUGGUACCUUGCUGAACCAGAAGCAUGGAUGUACAACUUUUUGUUAGCAUUUGCUCUUUUGAUUGCAAGCAGAGCCCUGCACUAGUUGGAUUAAAAUAACACUGUCAGCCUUCCUCUUCACGUGCAUCUCAGCAUGCAAUUAGUUAGCCCACUUUUGCAGUAGAUUCAUAGAUAUCCAUCGCUCCUGUGGUAGCCUUUGUUAUGACUUGCCCCUUCUGUUCCUGUCAGUUGUGCUAGAAAAAAUGGAACAAACUGACUGUGUCAAACUGACUGCUGAUUGACACAGAAAGAUAAGCAAAAUGUUCUUAAACUGACCUCAAAUUUAAAGAUUGGCUUUAAGCAUUUCAUCAACUAAAGCAAUGUAAAGGGCAAAUUGUAAAUGAUCCGCUGACAGACUCACUAUGAGUACCUGAAAACUGCACUCAGUCACAGCACUGUUGCUGCUAUUUCAGCUGCAAGAAACUGUGUUAUGUAGACCAUAAAUGGACAUCGCAUUCUCAGUAAAGGCAAUAGUGUGAAUAUAAACCUGUAUCUAGUAUUUUUAAAAUGUGACACAUUUGUACUGUAAAUACAGCUGAAUUCCUCAUUUAACAUUUAUAAUCACCAACUUCCCCAUAUCUGGAGUAAAUUAUUUACUAUGAAGGAAGUUAACCAUAUAUAAGAAGUGUAGAUGACUCUUUUGAUGUAAAAAUAAUUAACCUGUGUUUAUGAGAUAAGAGCUGCUUCCUUCUGUUUAAAGCCUUAGGGCUUAAAAAGCAUUACCAUUUCCUACAGAAAUAAGAAUACACUCGUCAAAAAUAUUUCAUUCAGUCCUAUCAUUCAGUUGCUUGAACUGUUAGCAGCAAUAACUUUCUGUAUGACUUCAUCAGUCUUUCAUAUCAUUGUGGUGGAAUUUUAGCUAAUUGUUUUUAGAGCAUUGCUGCAGUUCAUUGAGAUUUGAGGCCAUGCAUUUAUUCACAGCUCACUUAAAGGGAUAUUUGCUAGGAACGUCUACCCAGAGCUGCCAGGAAGACUGGCAGCUGUCUCACAUGUUUUCCUGUUGUUCUUACAGUAGAAUGAUGGACUUCACAUUUUUGGAAAUGGCCUUAUACACGUCACCAGAUUGAUGGGCAACAGCAAUUGUUUCUCUAAGAUUAUUGUUGAUGUCUUUCCUCCUUGUUGUGUUAACACACACCUGAGUCCUCCAGGCCAACAAACUGCCAGAGCUUCUGCUUUUAUAGAGGCGCUCACUCUUGAUGAUGAUCAGUUAAUCAACUGGAUUUGAUUAGCAGCACCUGGCUGCUUAUUACACUUGUAAUUCCUAUGGAAGCAUUAAGGAUGCACCUAGUUUUUCACAGGACUACUACAGGAGUCUUGUGAAAACCUUCUUGUUCACAUCACUGUGUAUAGUCAAGAGACACCCUUUUCAUUGCGUGUAUGCAUUUUGAGGUUAAUGAAGAGUGAUGCUGCACACAUUAUCCUUGUUCGCCUUUACACCUGUACCUAAGGAGUCAUGUCAAAGUUAAGUAGUCGGUCUUUUUCAUGUGUGUAAUUUGCUCUUUCGCUCUCUGUCAGCGUGAAUGAUUAAGGCUAAUCCAAUGUUUACUCGCACAGGUGCACAGACAGUUUAGCUACUCUCUGCCUGAUAGUGUCAGAUCCUGUGGCGACCUGAGACCAGCGUUUACAACUGGUACCUGAUGUACUCUGAGCGCCUCUUUGUAAGCGUGAGCGCGAAAUCAUGGAAGCCUGCUCACAAUUUCUUUUUGGCUUAAAGAAAAAUAAAGCCAAGGAUGUUUUCUCUUUUCUGAGUUUGGUGCGGUGUUGUGAACCGAGAUGUGAAGAGACGUGGAAUCAUUACCAAACGUCUGCUGUACAACUGAAUAACUAAAUCAAAUUAGGAACACUCAAAAGUAGCAAACUAAAAGCA
RNA transcript from Oreochromis niloticus (Nile tilapia), 11263 nucleotides. It is a transcript of the gene named fibroblast growth factor receptor substrate 3, with no coding region annotated. The transcript is spliced from 8 exons. NCBI's taxonomy places the organism in Eukaryota, Metazoa, Chordata, Actinopteri, Cichliformes, Cichlidae. The record is from RefSeq and is a predicted model, not a curated record.